GUAGGGAAUAUUGGGCAAUGGUCGGAAGACUGACCCAGCCAUGCCGCGUGCAGGAAGACGGCCCUCUGGGUUGUAAACUGCUUUUAUCUGGGAAGAAAAAGGCCAUGCGUGGCAAAUUGCCGGUACCAGAUGAAUAAGCACCGGCUAACUCCGUGCCAGCAGCCGCGGUAAUACGGAGGGUGCGAGCGUUGUCCGGAUUUAUUGGGUUUAAAGGGUGCGUAGGCGGCUGAUUAAGUCAGCGGUGAAAGACUUCGGCUUAACCGGAGCAGUGCCGUUGAUACUGGUUGGCUUGAGUGUCGGAGGGGUACAUGGAAUUGAUGGUGUAGCGGUGAAAUGCAUAGAUACCAUCAGGAACACCGAUAGCGAAGGCAUUGUACUGGCCGACAACUGACGCUGAUGCACGAAAGUGUGGGGAUCGAACAGGAUUAGAUACCUUUGUAGUCC
Molecule: ribosomal RNA, 444 nt
Filed under: uncultured bacterium
Lineage: Bacteria
Description: partial 16S ribosomal RNA
Rfam family: Bacterial small subunit ribosomal RNA
Source: RNAcentral